RNAcentral lists this transfer RNA (115 nucleotides) under Candidatus Woesearchaeota archaeon. RNAcentral's name for it is "tRNA-Phe". It matches the Rfam family "tRNA". Rfam says of the family: Transfer RNA (tRNA) molecules are approximately 80 nucleotides in length. Their secondary structure includes four short double-helical elements and three loops (D, anti-codon, and T loops). Lineage: Archaea; Nanobdellati; Candidatus Woesearchaeota. The record is from RNAcentral.
GGCGGCGUAGCAUAACCUGGUAAUGCACGAGGCUGAAUCCCUCGAUGCCUAACGGCUAUCUGGGUUCAAACUUCAUGCAACAGUAUGUGCAUGGGUGAAUAUCCCAGCGCCGCCG